UAUUAUAUGAGCAUAUAUGCAUGUAGAGUUGAAAUCUAGAUUUAGUAAUGCAUGAGAUGUAUUAUGAUUUGAUUUUAGAUAUGAUCUAAUGUAAAAAUUAGAUCUGAUAUAAUUUAGAUUAUAUUUAAAUUUUUAUAUAUAUAAUAUGUGAGUAGAUUAGAUAAUCCGAUUAGCAAGUACUUGGAUUGGAUUGAUCACCAGGC
Molecule: long non-coding RNA, 203 nt
Filed under: Elaeis guineensis (African oil palm)
Lineage: Eukaryota; Viridiplantae; Streptophyta; Magnoliopsida; Arecales; Arecaceae
Description: long non-coding RNA (EGUI_LNC059705)
Source: RNAcentral